This 137-nucleotide ribosomal RNA is filed under the name uncultured eukaryote. Its description in RNAcentral is "partial 18S ribosomal RNA". It matches the Rfam family "Eukaryotic small subunit ribosomal RNA", at positions 1299 to 1458 of the family's 1831-position model. The record is from RNAcentral.
UGGUGGAGUGAUUUGUCUGCUUAAUUGCGAUAACGAACGAGACCUUAACCUGCUAAAUAGCCCGGUCCGCGUCUGCGGGCCGCUGGCUUCUUAGAGGGACUAUCGGCUCAAGCCGAUGGAAGUUUGAGGCAAUAACA